GGCAGAGACUAUAACUAUUAGAGUUAAUGUGAGAAUUUUGGUAUUCAUUUUAAUAUCUCACUUUUAUGAUAUCAAACAGUUCACAGAUUUAUAAAUACACGAUUCCAGUAACUCAGGAACUGAAGAAAUACCUUGUACAUUAGCUAAACCAUAUUUUUAGUAUGAGUACCUCAAAAUAACCAUGCUUGGGGCAGCCCUGGUGGCUCAGCGGUUUAGCCACCGGGGCCUGAUCUUGAAGACCCAGGAUCGAGUUCCACGUCGGGCUCCCUGCAUGGAGCCUGCUUCUCCCUCUCGCCUGUGUCUCUGUCUCUUCUCUCUCUCUCUCAUGAAAAAAUAAAUAAAAUCUUUAAAAAAAAAAAAAAAAGAACUUUAAAAUAGCUAUGCUUAUUGGUUGGUCAGAAGGGAAAAAAGAUGACCGUGGAGUCAAAGAAUAAAGUUUCUUUGCCUCUAAUGAAUUUAUAAACCAAGAAAUUUCUGACACAGGAAACACAGAAGAGUUUUUGUCCGUGUAGCAGAAGAAAAGGCAAGAUAAAGAUCCAGAAGGAAACAGUGACUUGAGAUAGUAAAUGUUUUUAAAUGAUGGCAGAAGAGUCACAUGUUCUACCAACUGAGCCAAAUUCUGCUUUUGUGUUUUAAAAAAAAGAAUAAAUAUUUUAAGUUGUAUAGAACUGUUUUAUUCUAAAAAUAGUAAAUGUCCAUUACAUAGAAUUUAUAAAAUACAGAAAAGUAUAUAGAUAACAAGAUAAAAUUCAUUUGGAAUUCCAUCAGUCAGCAAUCAUCACUUUUAAUAUUUCAAUGUAUUUUGUAGUUUGUCAAAAUUAUAAUAAUCUUAAUGUCAGAGACAACACUGACAGCUAAAUAUGACUUUAAUGUGGGCUGUGUGUUCUCCAUGCACGUUACCAUUUAAUACUUACCAUGGCCCAUGAAGGAGGGAUUACAGGUCUUCCACUUUUUGUCCACAUUUAGAAACAGAAAAGCUCUGAAAACCAAAGCAGAACCAAAAGAGUUUGGAUCAGAGAAGUAUCUGAUCUGAAAUGACAUGAGGCUUUUUUUUUUAAUUUAUUUCACUAAAUAUGAAUACUACUGGGUUUUGCGACAUAAACCUAUAUGUUUGUUUAUAGAACGUUCCCUCAGAGCCCAUGGGAAUGGUCACUAUGUAUCUAUGUGUAUGUAAUAUACAUCAUGUGUAAUAUAUAGAAAAGGUUAGUAUAUAACCUAUAUAGUAUAUAGAUACAUAGAUACAAUUAUAUAUUUUCCUAUAUGUUAUAUGGAAAAUUAAGUAUAUAAUUAAUAUAUAUUAUAUGUAAUAUAUAUUAUAUGUAAUAUAUAGAAAAUAACUUCUCUAUGUAGAAAAUAGUCAUAUAUAUGUAUAAUUACAUAAUUAAUUUUCUAUAAAGUAUGUUGGAAAAUAUAUAAUUAUAUAUAUUAUAUAUGACAUAUAGAAAAUAACUUUUUCACUAUAGUGAAACCCAUUCAUAUAUAUAUAUAUUUAUAUAUUCAUUUGGCUCCAGGAUUUUUGGAUAAAGGAUGUAAAAAUGUAUCUGAGUUUUACUGAAGAAGAUAUAGGGACAUUAAAUAACUUGCUUAAGAGUUCAUGGCUAGUAGAAAGUGGAGCCAAGACUCAAUCAAAUAGACCUCUCUGACUCUAGAAUUUGAAUGCUGAAAGCAUUGCUUCAUUUAAGUAAAAUUGCUGUUGUUGAGAAACAGUAACUGUGUAUCCACCUUAAGGAGCCUGAGCAGAAUUUUCAGAUAUUGAUAAUUUGGUAACCAUCCUCCAGUUAACACUAAGUAUAAUAAUUUUGAAGCAUUAUUCAUCAAGAAUAAGAAAAUUCUGAUUUAUUAAACUUUUGAGCCUGAAUUUAAUGAUUUAAUUUAACUGUGCUUUAAGUUGAAGAGAUAAACUUUAAUUAAUGUUAAAUGCAAUUGUAAAAUCAGCUACCAUCAAUUGCAAGGUACAAAAUAAUAUUUUGAUGUAUCUUUAUAAUUUUAAAAAUCAUACAUGUAAUAUUUUACUGUAUCUUGCUUAUUAGGCAUCCAGGUAAAAUUUUUAAAUAAUAAUACAAAUAUAGAUCCUGGACAGAAAAGAAGCAAUUUUCUAUCUUACUAUUGAUAAAAUUCAGUAUUUAUAUAAAUAUAAAAUAGUAUUUUGCUUUGUGCUUUCUAGGAGUAUAAAAGAUUAUUAAUAAACCAUAAUUUUUGGUAAGACUUUAUAUUUUCUAUAUUUACUGGAUAUUAAGCCAUUAUAAUGUACUCUUAGUGUACAAUAAUCAGAGAUAGAUUUGCUCACUUUAUGGAUCUCAUGACUUCAGUUGCUGCCCAGGAUUGGCAGCUGCUUUUCUGGGGCAUGUACCUCAUUGGAUACUUACUCUCUGAUGAAAGUAGUAUUAAAAAAAAAUGGAAGCAGCUUCCACUGUUUACUGGCUUAUAUUUUUUUCUUAAACUGUGCAUUUGUCAGAAUUUUGGGAAAGCAAGCAAGAAUCAGUAACCUACUCUUCUUUGUGCUUUUGUUUUAGCAGCCCCAUUUUAAUUGCCUCCAUCAAAAUAAUUCUCCUAAAGCCUUCCAAAAUCCUUUCUUCCAACUUAUUUACAAAACAUAAUUUUGACUUAGCUUGAAAUAAAUAGCAUACCUUUGACCCACCUAAAAAGAAAUCUUUGGCAUUGGCUCUUUUUAGAAAUGCAGUAAUCCCUCAAUCUAUCGAACUAAUGUUUAUUUCAGGCUGACAAUGUGUGAGGUAACAUGGAAGGAAGUAAAAAGAUAAAUAAUGCUUUCAAGAAGUUCAGAGAAGGGCAACCCCGGUGGCUCAGCGGUUUAGCACCGCCUUCAGCCUGGGGCGUGAUCCUGGAGACCCGGGAUCGAGUCCCAUGUCGGGCUCCCUGCAUGGAGUGUGCUUCUCACUCUCUCAUUCAUGAAUAAAUAAAUAAAAUCUUUUUUUUUUAAUUUUUAUUUAUUUAUGAUAGUCACACACACAGAGAGAGAGAGAGAGAGAGGCAGAGACACAGGCAGAUGGAGAAGCAGGCUCCAUGCACCGGGAGCCCGACGUGGGAUUCGAUUCAGGGUCUCCCGGAUCGCGCCCUGGGCCAAAGGCAGGCGCCAAACCGCUGCGCCACCCAGGGAUCCCAAAUAAAUAAAAUCUUUAAAAAAAAAAAAGUUCAGAGAAGAAAAGGAUUCCUUUCACUGGCAGUAUAGUAGUAGUAGAGUAGUAAUAAUAAUAGUAGUUGUAGUAUAGAUAGUAGCAGCAACAGUAUCACAGUGCUCUCUCUGUGCCUAACACCAUUCUAAUACUUUAUAUUAAUUCAUUGAAUCCUUGUAUCACCCCUAUGAAAUAGGUACAAUUAUGAUCUCCACUUUACAGAAGAAGAUACACUGAGGUACGUAGGGUUUAGUCAUUUGCCAAAGUCAUACAACUGGUGGAACUAGAACUGGUAGUCUGGCUUGAGAAUUCAUACCAGUCUGUGUUUUCAAAUGAGAGGAGGCAUGAACUAUGCUUGUGAUGAGAGAUAGGGAAGAUCAUCCAAAGAGAGGCAUCUUUGGGAGCAAUUCUGCUUGACAGUCAUAUAAAAAAUACAUAUUGUGUAGAAAGCAGUACAGAAAUGGUAAGAUACAGACACUGCACACAAGGAACUUAGAGCAAGUUUACAACCUUCCUGAUGAUCUAUUUGAGGCCUCUUUGAUAAAAGAGUAUAAUUGCUAUUGGAUGGUUUAUUUUACAGUUUUGUGGUUCAUUGCAUUUCUCAUUGAACAACUGACAAAUCAAAAAUACCUUGCCAACAUUUUUUUCUUUAAUAUUUGCUGAGCACCUCCUAACUAAUACUUGCUGAGUGUCAGGUAUUAUGUGGGUGUCACAAGAACAGUAAUAAGCAAGAAAGACCACUCCUCCCCUCACAGAAUUUGCAAUUUGGGGAGAAAAUAGGUAAACAAGUAUUAAAAUGUGAUAAGUGCUAUGAUAGGAGAAGUCAGGGACUAUGAGAGUAUGUAUGUAUGUAGAGACGAAUUCUAAGGUACCUCUGGAGUGCUAAUACCUGAAAGAUAAGGUAUCAGUUAGGAAAAAGGGGUACGGGGAGCAGAGAGUAGAGAAAAUAUAUUCCAGGCUAAGGGAACACCAUGCACAGAGGCCCAGCACAAAGAAAUAACCUGGUUCAUUCAAUGAACUUUAAAAGCAAGUGGAGUGAGUGACUUGAUCAGGUCUGUAGACUCCUUCCUUACUAAAUGACUUUGAGGGAGUUACUCUUCCUCUUUAAGCUUUAGUGACUCCAUUUAAACAGAAAGAGAUAUAAAGUAUCUCCUUCACCUGUAUAGAUAUGGAUGAGCUAUCUACUAGGUAGUAAGUGACAGAGUAGACAGGAAACAUUUUCUGAAUUCCUGCCCAAAAUCUUUUUAAUAUGACACACAAACUAGGAAAAUCAAAUUGUAAAAGAAACACAUCUUGGUGUAGAUUGCCCUAAGGCAUCUGAUAUAUAUUCACUAAUGGAAAGUCUUCUGAUUUAGCAUAACUAUGUCAUAUCUAUAAUAAACUUAGGUAAUAACUCAGGAGUGUCUAAUAUACACACUAGGAGGAUUAUUCAUUUUUUAAAAAUAAAUGAUAAUACUUACUCCUCAAAUGAAUCUUCAUAGUCAAACCAAAUAUAACUGACUUAUUGAAUGAGCUAGAGUCUGUCAGCUACAAGCAGAAAGCAGUAUUACAGGCCCUGAUUAGCACACUUUUGCUGUAUAAAAUCAUUGUUUCCUUUUUUUAGAUAAAAUUUCAGGAUCAGCCCAUAGUUCUUCCAGCCACUUUCAGGUACUAAAAAGUCUAGACCACUAGAAGAAAACAUAGGAGAGCAUUUUCUUAAGUCACAAAAAAUAAUUAUAUAUAGAAAGAUUAAUCAGUUAGACUUCAUUAAAAUUAAAAACACCUGGAGGCACCUGCAGUAGUUGAGCAUCUGCCUUUGGUCAGGUGGUGAUCCUAGGGUCCUGGGAUCGAGUCCUGCAUCAGGCUCCAUGGAGGGAGCCUGCUUCUCCCUCUCCUGUGUCUCUGCCUCUUUCUGUGUGUCUCUCAUGAAUAAAUAAGUAAAAUCUUUUUAAAAAAUUAAAAACACCUAUUCAACAGAAACCGUCAUUAGGAGAGUAAUAGGCAAAUCAUAAGAGUUGGAGAAAAUAUUUAGAAUAAGUACAUUAUUUGUCAGAUAUCUAACAUGUAUCCAGGCUAUAUAAGUAGCUCAUACAAAUCAAUAAAAAAUAUAGGUAAUAAUAAGAAACAGGCAAAUAUUGACUAGACAUUUCAUAAAAGAGGAUAUCCAAGUCUUCAAAAAGCAUAUGGAAAAGGACUCAUCAUUAGUCAUCAGGAAAAUGCAAUUUAAAGCCACAAUGAGAUACCACUGUAUAUGUAUAAGAAUGGCUAAAAUUGGAAAAGAUUGUCAAUACCAAGUAUUAAUGCAGAUGUCUAGUAACUGAGUUCUCAUACAUUGCUGGUGGGAGUGGAAAAUGGUACAGGUACUUUGGGAAGCUGUUUGGCAAUAUCUCCUAAUGCUAGACAUAUGCAUAUCCUGUGACUUAGCAAUUCUAUCUCAGAUUUUUACUCAACAGAAAUGAGUGCAUAUGUCCACCAGAAGACAUGUUGAAGAAGGCUUUAGCAACUUUUUUUUCCAUAGAUCAAAAUGGAAAAAUUCAAAUGUCCAUCAUCAGGAGAAUGGGUAAAUUCUGAUAGAGUGUUCAUACAAUAGAACACAAAAUAUGAAUGGAAAAGACAAGCUACUGCCCUACCCAAAAACAUAUUUAACUCUCACAGACAUAAGAUUGAGCAAAUGAAGCCAGACACAAAGAGUUCAUAUAUAUGAAGGUCAAGGUAAGAAAAAUUCAACAAUGGUGAUAAAAGUGGAAAUAGUGGUAACUUCAGCAGGGUGGAUAUUGACUUGGAGGAAGCAUGAGAAAUCUUUCUAGAUUACUAGAAAUGUUUCCUAUUUAUAUCUGUAUGGGGGUUACCCAGGUAUGUGUAUAUAUAUGACAUGCAUGUAAAAAUUUAUGUUUGUUAUACCUCAAUAAACAGAAAAGGCCUAGUCCAGUCUGAUGUUAAAACUUCAGUCUUGUAUUCAAUUAAAAGCUUCCCCUGGCCCCCAUCAACUCACAGUCAAUAAUCAGCGGUAGGGAAAGGAGAAUUGUAUAGGUUUCUUCUCUUAUCGUUGGCCUACCUGUUCUCCCAUUCUUGAGCCACUGUUUUUGUCCCUCUAGGAAAAAGCACAAAGGGAAGGAGGGACUAGAGAAGAAUGGAAAAAGCCUGAUGCAUCUUGGGUUGUAAUCAGGCUUUGCCCUCUGCGUAUGGCGCGUCUCCAAAAUCUAGCUCUUUCUCUUGCAGGAGUGCUUCUGUGGGUUUUUGAGUGAUCCUACUUCACUAAAAACAUCCUAAUUCAACAUUGCCUGGUAUGGGCAAUGAUCCUCUUACAACUCUAGCGACAGUUCUUGGCUUUUAAUAAUCUACUUCUCUGGGUGGAGUCCUAGGCAGAAUGACUCAAGACGGGUUUUCCUCCUUGAGUCAAAUGACAUCUUUGCCUGACCAGUGGAAAACUGAUAGUUGGCUCCAUUGUAGCUUCUCUCUUCUCCUAUCCUCUCAGCUUCAAGCUUCUCUAGGAAAACACUCUCCGGUAUUCCCUUUUCCCAUUUCCCAAAACCCAGGGGAUACAUUCUCCAACUGGUUCUCUGAAGAUUUCCUCACUUACUUUGGGGUGGAACCACCUUAGAGGAGCAAGUGGAUAAUUAUGUGGUCUAAUGAUAACUCUCCCCAAAGAAGUUGCUUCUAUCAAUCUUACUUCUGCCUUUCAUUUAUAGCUUGAAAGGGGACAAUAAACCUAUGGUAGAGCACAGUUUUUCUUUUAAGCUAGAGGAUAAAUGAAUGGUUCCUGCCCAAAGAAAAGUACUCAUUUUGUCUGUUCCACCUUCUUUGCCAGUUGCUUGAGGCUUUUCUGAAUAAAAAGAAGCAUUCUGGAAUAUUAAGUUCUGUGCAGUUGUUUUUAUUUUCUCGGUAUUCUACUUCAAAAAUAUUUCAGGUAGACAACAAAGAUUGAGAAAUAAAGAUUUUAUCAUAAACAUACAUUCUCACACAUAAAGAUUAUUGGGACCUUCUUGGGUGACUGUGAAUAAUUCUGUGAGCCUCUGUGUCCACAUCUAAAAAUAACAGAUAGAUAUAACUUGCUUUAUAUUAUUCCCAUGAGGAUAAAAUAUAAAUGAAUUAUACAUAAACAGAAAUAAACACAUGCAAGUAUAGAUACAUGCAUACAUACAUACUACACAUAUAUUACUCAGAACAAAGUAAGUGCACAAUAAAUAUUAGCUCCUUUUUUCUUUCUUCCUGGACUAUGUGACCGCACAUUCCCUUUUUUUUCCCAGUAAAGCAACUUUCUUUAGUUAUAGGCUUCUGAGAAUAGAGAGGCACAGGGCUCUAGGAUUCCUUAUAAAGAGUGUAAGUUUACUCUUCAGAAACUGUCAAUAAAGGUGUGCUAUGUUUGAAAUUAAAAUUUACCAGAUGUGGUUAAAUAAGCAUCAGCCUAGUUAUAAAUACCUGGAUUCAAAUCCCAGCUCCACAACUUAUAGCCAUUCAUUUAUUCAACCAAUUUAUUGAGGGCUUACUUUGUACCAGGUUCUGUUGUAGUAACUGAGGAUAUGGGGCGGGCGGCGGAGAGACAAACAAGAGCCCAGUCUUGUGCAUCCCAACCUUGGGGAGCUUUGUUGGGCAGUGGAGAUGGGUGAAAGGCAGGGGAAAUAGACAACAAGCAAAUUAUUAAAUAUAAUGUCAAGUGAUGAAGGAAUAGAAAGUGGUAGGGGAGGGUAGAUAGGUGUGUGUGUGUGUGUGUGUAUUGUAUGGAGGGUUGUCAGGAAAGGUCUUAUUGACCUUUCCCUGAAUCGAGGGAGGGCUAUCUAGAAGGUAAAGAUGAUCUUGUAAUAUUGCAGAAGCCAAAGGAACGAAGGACGGAGAAGGAGGAAGUCAAUGCUGUUGAGUGAUAGAGAAGCCCUCAGUAGUCAUUGGACCACUGGACAAAUUAUUUGCCUUCCAGGAGCAAUAGUCAGUAAGAGCUGAGGAUUAAGUGAGAUAAUUUAUAUAAAGCACUUGUCACAUAGUAGACAAGUGACUGAAGAUUUUCUUCACAUAUCACUUGUAUUAUAAAUACUUAAAAAUUCAUAGUGAAAAAUAUUUUUAAAUAGUCUCAAUUCAGCUUUGCACUGAAUUUGCAAAAUGUUCAAGUGACUGUAUGGAAGUCAGUACGUGAAACCGUAACAGUUGUGGAACUGAGGCUUUGUCUUGUUUAACGGACUGUAUUAGUAACAAGUAGUUAAUUUGAUGUGUUGUGUCAUGGGUCACGGGUCAUGUGAAUUGCAAUGUAUUUGAACAUGUUGGAAUUUUUCACAUUCAAACUGGCAGAAAUCAAUUGUGUAAAAAAUAAGAAAAUAAGGAAUACUUGAUUUUCCUGAAAAUUGUAUGAUUUUCCAGAAAAUCAAGUAUUUCAGCAUUCAUUAGAGUCUCUUUUGCUAAAUUACAGUUUCUAUGAAUGAUCAACAAAUAACUCCCAUUUUAAAUCUAAGGAAUAAGGAAAUUGAUUUGGUUCUCAUCCAUUUCAGGGAUUCCCUAAUGUCUUUGCAUUGAUUUUUAAAUACACUUUCAAUUUUACAGAAUUUGGCUGAAUAAUAUGACAUGUGAACUCUCCUGUAUUGUAAUGACAAAAUGAGACUGUCACACAUUCUUUAAAGUAAUACAAAAUUAUGAUAUCUUUGGCUACCUCACAAUAUUUCCGUGUCAUCUAAAUUAUUUCAUAGAGAUCAGGAAUUAAAAAUUCUACCCAGAAAGUGUCGAAGAAUGAGGAUAUACAUUCAAGCAUGUGUUUUGAAAUUUACAUAAAUUUAAAGGAUAUGUUUUUAUGCAUUGUCAUCUCCUCCAGAAGAAAUCUAUAUGCUUUUUUGAAAACACUACUCUUACUCUUAGGUGUUUAAAAAGUAUCUCAAACACCUCACAGUAAAGGAAAUAAAGUCAUUUUACUUAAAGUAAAUCAUUUUUCCAAAUUUUCUUGAGCACAUUUAUGUAGGUACGGAGAGAGAAUGAGAGUUCUUUUUUCACAUUUUAAAUACAAAACACACCAGCUGCUACCCCAGCUAUUCACUAGAGAAAGGAAGAAUAACUAAAUUUCUGCAGCAAUGUGUAGAACUAAAUUUAUUGAAAUCCCAGUGAAAGCUUUUGUUGUGUUUGGUAUAAUAGGGAAAAUUCCAUAAGAUAUCUUAGAUUGCAUUUUCUUCGUGGUAAUCUUCAUAGUCCUAGCACUCCCUGGUCAGUCUGUAAACAUGCUUCAUUCAUUUAGAAUGAGAACUCAUACCUCAGAAGCCAGCCAGGUUUGGAGAUUACAAGACAUUUUAUUUCAAAUAACCUGAGUACUUCUAGUUGUAAACACUGAAUCCACUGAAUCUGGUUCAGAGAGGUUGGAGCUUGGUGACCCCCAUUAGUUAUUUUUCUCAAACACAGAAGGAAUGGAUUUGUAUUGUAAAGUGGGUGACUUUAGUGAACUGGUGCCAGCCUUUCUUAUAUCUGUUUCUGAGCCUUUUGCUCUAGUUAUAUUUCUGGUUUCAUUUCAAGCACUUUUUUAACAUUCAUCUUUCACUUAUUACAAGAAGUUAAUUUAUGUUCUCAGGAUGACUCAUUUCCUUUCAGAGAUCUUCCUCUGUUCACCUAGCUUGUGUUUUCUAUAAGAAGACACAAUCAGAUGUUUUUGUUCCUCUUAAGAAAUCCCUGACAGGCCCACAACACUGGCUACUGCUGUAGCUGUACAUUUCUAUACAUAAUUGAUGACUUGGGGCCCAGCACACAGCACCAGUGCACAAGCCACAUAGGUUACCAUACAGGGAGGGGUUUUAGGUCUUUGGAUUUUCCAUUUCUGAAUAGAACUAACUCCCUGCUAAAUAAGAGAAAUUCCGGAAGGAGUAAGUUUACCCUAAUAAUAAACAUUCUUUAGAGAACAAAGCAAUUUGCCAGCAAUAGAAGAUUUAGACAGUCUUAAGAUCCUAACUUUAUUACCCCAUCCAACGAUUUCUCAACUUAGCAGCACUGGUCAUGUUUGGUUUUGCUGACAUUUUGGUCAGCAAAUCAAAGAAACAUAAAAGAU
RNAcentral lists this long non-coding RNA (10113 nucleotides) under Canis lupus familiaris (dog). RNAcentral's name for it is "lncRNA (ENSCAFG00000058101.1)". The record is from RNAcentral. Lineage: Eukaryota; Metazoa; Chordata; Mammalia; Carnivora; Canidae.